This 114-nucleotide ribosomal RNA is filed under the name Acanthosepion pharaonis. Lineage: Eukaryota; Metazoa; Mollusca; Cephalopoda; Sepiida; Sepiidae. The record is from RNAcentral.
UUACGGUCAAAUCACACUGAAACACCGGUUCUCGUUCGAUCACCGAAGUUAAGCAUCGUAGAGCCAGGUCAGUACUGAGAUGGGGGACCGCUUGGGAACACCUGGGACUGUAAG